This 468-nucleotide ribosomal RNA is filed under the name uncultured bacterium. RNAcentral describes it as "partial 16S ribosomal RNA". It matches the Rfam family "Bacterial small subunit ribosomal RNA", at positions 28 to 507 of the family's 1533-position model. The record is from RNAcentral.
GACGAACGCUGGCGGCGUGCUUAACACAUGCAAGUCGAACGGAAAGGCCCUGCUUUUGUGGGGUGCUCGAGUGGCGAACGGGUGAGUAACACGUGAGUAACCUGCCCUUGACUUUGGGAUAACUUCAGGAAACUGGGGCUAAUACCGGAUAGGAGCUCCUGCUGCAUGGUGGGGGUUGGAAAGUUUCGGCGGUUGGGGAUGGACUCGCGGCUUAUCAGCUUGUUGGUGGGGUAGUGGCUUACAAAGGCUUUGACGGGUAGCCGGCCUGAGAGGGUGACCGGCCACAUUGGUACUAAGCUACGCCCCAGACUCCUACGGGAUGCAGCAGUGGGGAAUAUUCCACAAUGGGCGGAAGCCUUACGCAGCAACCCCGCGUGCCGGAUGACGGCCUUCCGGUUGUAACCCGCUUUCCACUGAGACGAAGCGUGAGUGACGGUAAUGGGUAAAGAAGCACCGGCUAACUACGUG